UACGGAAGGCAGCAGUGGGGAAUAUUGCACAAUGGGCGAAAGCCUGAUGCAGCUAUGCCGCGUGUAUGAAGAAGGCCUUAGGGUUGUAAAGUACUUUCAUCGGGGAGGAAAAAACAAAACUAAUAAUUUUAUUUCUUGACGUUACCCGAAAAAGAAGCACCGGCUAACUCCGUGCCAGCAGCCGCGGUAAUACGGAGGGUGCUAGCGUUAAUCAGAAUUACUGGGCGUAAAGAGCACGUAGGUGGUUUUUUUAAAGUCAGAUGUGAAAUCCCUGGGCUUAACCUAGGAACUGCAUUUUGAAACUGAAAUACUAGAGUAUCGUAGAGGGAGGUAGAAUUCUAGGUGUAGCGGUGAAAUGCGUAGAUAUCUGGAGGAAUACCUGUGGCGAAAGCGGCCUCCUAAACGAAUACUGACACUGAGGUGCGAAAGCGUGGGGAGCAAACAGGGAUAGAUACC
RNAcentral lists this ribosomal RNA (456 nucleotides) under uncultured bacterium. Its description in RNAcentral is "bacterial SSU rRNA". It matches the Rfam family "Bacterial small subunit ribosomal RNA", at positions 340 to 786 of the family's 1533-position model. The record is from RNAcentral.